This is a long non-coding RNA of Anolis carolinensis (green anole), 10151 nucleotides long. RefSeq lists it as uncharacterized. NCBI's taxonomy places the organism in Eukaryota, Metazoa, Chordata, Lepidosauria, Squamata, Anolidae. The transcript has 2 exons. The record is from RefSeq and is a predicted model, not a curated record.
UUCUGGGAGUUGUAGCCCAAAACACCUGGGGACCCCAGGUUGAGAACCACUGUGUUAAGACAUCUUGUAGAAAGAUGUGUAUUAUUUUACAUGUUAUUUUCCACCCAGAAUGCACUAGCAUUACUAGCUAGAAAUCCCAUUAGAAACUGACUUUGGUAAAAUCACCCAGAUUUUUACUGCUUAUGGCCUUUUAUAGCUAAUGCAGGUUGAGUAUUUCAUAUUCAAAAUGAUUGGAACAGACGUGUUUGUAUUUUGGAUGUUGUGCAUAGCACAAGUUUUGUGUACUUUGAAGCCUCAGAAAGCGAAGAUGCCAAUAUUUUGGUCACUCGUGGACAAUUUUUGGAAUUCUGGAUAAGAGGCAACAAAUUAUAGGUACUGUAGGCUCUAUUCUUGAGGAAGUAAAUGGGAAACCCACCUCUGAGUAUUUCCUUCUUAAGAAAACCCAAUGUAAUUUAUGGGGUUGUCAUAAGUGGAUAGGCACACGCGCACACAGACACAUACUAUUGGGUAUAAACAGCUAAAAACUCAACAUCUGGAUGGUGCUCUUCCAGAACUAGCAUGGGCCUUGUCUUACCUGUCAAGUCAGUUCCUAUGUUUACAAUGGUCUUGGGCUGUAAGUGUCCUUCAGAAGCAGGCAAGUGGAAGGUGCCCAAAUAAAUACUGUGUGAUGUCCAUCAUGAGCUUAAAAUUCAUUUGGCAUACAUUGUUGUUCUUUGGUCAGGGUAGGUGAGUUUAUAUUUCCCAGAGAGACAAUUGAAGCCAUGUUACUUCUGAUUAAUUUGAAUGACUUGUUUAGAGGAGAAUUGGAUGAAACAGACAAGGCAGUUUACAUUGCUUUCUCUGUCCUGAAGGAAGCUUGGGAAAUUAAGGCUGCACUAUAUCUCUGGCUUGUGUCCUGUGGAGAGAUUCCUAGAAGCUGCUAUUAAUUAAGGGUACACCGAAAUGAAUAUUGACUGUGUAGUUCUGUGCAUAAUGAGACAGAACUAAAUCCUGCUGAGUGCAGUGGGAUUUCUUUCUGGGUAUAUGCAGAAUUUUUUUUAUUUGUAUCCUACCCUAUAUCUGAGGAUCUCAGGGUAAUGUGCAAUGAAAUCAAUUUGGAGCAAUUUAAAACAAUAAUAUUUUUAAAAGACUAUGAAUAUAUAUAAAGCCAUUCAUCUCUUAUGAUAAUUUAAAACAAAUGUAAAUAAUGUAAACUAUAAACUGUGUGCAAAUGGGAUUAAACCAUUUCAGCUCCGAAGACUUUAAUUAAAAAUGUUUUGACUUGGCACCAGUUGGGCAUCUGAUGGAAGAGUGCUAUGAUGGGCCUGCCUUAGCUAAGAAAGUUUUUCCAAAUGACCUCCUGUUACCUCAACCACUCAAAGGUGCAUCUUUCUCUGAUUUUAAGAGAAAAUGUUUAUUUUGGGGGGAAAAAUAAAAUGCAAAGGAUAAAAGGGAAUAGGAAAGAAAAUAGGCACAGUUACAUUUACUUUUGUAGGUAAAACUGUUGGAAAUAGCAACCUUCUCAAACCUCCAUCAGUUAUUUGUUAUGUAUAUAAUUCAGAUUGCUUAUUGUAUUGCAUAUGUGUGUAUUGGUUUGCAGUUUUUCUUUAAUUCUUUGAUGUGGGAGGGGCUGCAGAACUUGUGAUCAGAUCUGGGUUUGUUCAGAGCUCAGACUCCAUUUCAAAGCAACCAGUAUCUUCAGUUUAGACUUCAGUAGGAACAGACUAGACCGAGACUCUAUUAGACUCUCAGAACAGAGAGAUGCUUAGAUUAUGGAGUGUUGACUAUGAGAAAGAUGUCCUGUGUUACCUAAACAGAGAAACUACUUCAAAUCUACUUGUAACUGGAUUGUUAUGCAAAGUACCUGUGUGCUGAAUAUAUGAAGUUUGUGAGUCCACAGUUUAUUUUCCACUUUGGUGGGACAAGAAGAGAGCCCCUCCAAAAGAUUUCAAUUCUUGGUUUGAAGCUUGAGCUUUUCCUUUUCUGAAAUGGCCAAGGAAUCUUAUAGCACCUUUGAAGCUAACAGAAAACAAAGUUUGUUAACAUGAGCUUUUGUAGAGUGUGCCACUAGACGCUCUAUUUGCAAGAGCAUUAUAACUGUGUAAUUGUAUGAUCGCAGCGGAAAAGGUAGAAAAAAUUAAACAACACUCAUGUGCUGUGCAGGGUGGACAUGGAUAGGUAGGGGCCUUUAUUGAGGCAGUGCCACAGAGUCAUUGUAAAAAUGUGCAUUACCAAAGCAGCACCGUAGCAUGGUUGGAGGAAGGUGUAAAAGUGAUACUGUAGUUUCCAAACUGCAAUUUUUCUGCUUGCUUAAACACUGUGAAUGCUGUGUAAUAAACUCCUGUUAUAGAUGGGAUCAACAAGUAGCUUGAGGCCCAUGUGUACAUACAUCUGUAUGAGCUGGGAAUCCCUGAGCAGGGAGGGAGUCUUCUUGUGCAGCAGCCUUGGUCAACAGAGGCAGUGGUGAGUAAUGCUAGGAGUUGCAUGUGGAAGUCUGCAUGAUUCCUAUUCUGAUCUACAUACAAAGAAAUUUCUCCCUUUGCACUCAUGUCUAAUGGCACAUUCAAAGGAUGAUCUGCAGUUAUAAAAAGUAUAGUCCAGUGGAAGGCUAUGUGGAGUUCAAUGUGAGCCGCAACUCUAUGCAGGUUGAUAGGUUUUAUAUAGGAUAGGCCUCAUUUAUAGCAUGAAUAGUUAACAAUUCCUGGUGAAACAAGAUGUAGUGUAAAGUUCUGCCACACAGAACCACACAAUACUUUCUCCUAUAUGUCUUCCACACCCACCUUUUGGGAGUUGAACUAUUGUAUCUCCCUCCAACACAUACAUUUACUGAAGGAUGAUGCCACUGCUGUGAGCUCAGCUUAAGAAGCAUAGCUAGACAUUUCUCCGGUGCCUUCUCAUCACUCUCCACCAGCCAGUAAAUGGCUGUUGGGGGACAUGCAGCAUUUACAGGCUGGUGGAGAGUGGAGAGAAGACACUGGAGAAAUGUCUAGCUAUGCUCUUUGAGCUGAGCUCACAGCAAUGGCACCAUUCUUCAGUAAAUGUAUGUUUUGGAGGGAGAUCCAACAGCCCAGUUUGUAAAUAACCCCUGCAUCCCUUCAAAUCCCUUUUCCAAUCUUCGUUCAGGGCAGAGAAUUACUCCCUGAGUACCUAGAAAGUUACCUGUGCAGUGCUCUUCCUCAAAACAAAUAUAUUCAAAAUGUACAGAAAUUUGCUUUAAAAGCCACCUGGAAAUGAAAAUUAGAACAUUUCUGUUUACUGUUGGAACUUGUGUUCAGCUGAUUUGCCAGAGAAAGUCAGGAGCUGCAGUGCAUUACAGGGGGAGUGGGGGGGGGGGGGUGAAACUUGGCCUCAUUGGCAGUUUCCAUUGCCAGCCUGGCUUGUCUGUGUAAACAUGUAAUAUCUGGAAGGGAUUCCUAUGUACAGGCAGUCCUCGAGUUACAAACAUCUGAUUUACAAAUGACUCAUUGUUAAGAAUGAGGGUGAGACUGAGAGGGACGUGGGUUUAAAAAGAAUUUUCAAAGAUACUUGUAAUGACUAUAAGUCCCAUAUGUUUUGAUUGACCUAAGUUGCAAUAUGUUUGAGGAAAGUCUGCGCUUGAGAGAAAAUGCUGAUGUUUGAGAAAAGAGUUGUUCCAGACAAAAGACUUUCAAAUAAUAACAAUACAUCAAGUCAGAACCGCUUCCCGUAUGAUUUCGAGCUUAUACUUGCAACAAGUCAGGGUCAAUAACAUGAAAGCACCAUUGUCUAAAGAAUCACAUGUUGUUACAGCAUAGAAAACCAAUGGGAUUGCAUGGUGGUUAAGAUGCUUGUGACGUAGCCAACAUUAGACGAAUGGGGUAAAUGAUCUUUGUAAGCCAAUAAGGAUAUGCUUGCUAAUUUCUGUGGAGGUGAUAAAAACCCUUGCAACCUUUUUGGAAAUUCGGACAAAUCCUUUGAUUGCAUGUAUGCAUGUAUUUGUCACAUUGCUAUGGCCAUGCAAUAAAUACUUCUUUUGCAGUUUGAAGAUCCAACUUUCAUUGUGUUUUUUCCUGGAGAAAAGGGGUCUGCACUGAAGCUUUCUCACUAAUCCUUGUUUCCGUAACAAGCCGAAUUAUUCAGAAUCCAGUUAUCACAGGGACAAACAAUGAGAUGAAAUCUUCUGAACGGGGGCACAGACAGCAAAACAGACACCAUAGGUGUGUUAACCCUUCCCUUUGCUACCCCAAGCUAAAAUAUCUAUUUUUGGCUGGAUUUUCACUUAAAAAUGUACUUGUUCCGACUUCUAAGAACCAAUCUAAGAACCUAUCUUGCUCGUAACUUGGGGACUGCCUGUAUUUCAUAGUACAGUGUUCCCCCUCUACUUUGCAGUUCACUUUUUGCGGACUCGUUAUUUCGCAGGGAAACUGAGGUAUGUUUAAACAUUAUUUUAAUUGUUAUGUGGUCUUUCGCCCCCUUGCAAGCCCCGGGGAGCUAGUGAACCCUUCCCUAACAGCGCCGGCUGGGCCCUUACUCUGGGCCGCCAUGUUGCCCUGGCUGCUUCCCUGCGGCCAGGGAAGAAGGAACGCUGCUCCAGCCGGAUGAGUGAGCGAUGGAGGGUGGGUGAGAGAGUGAAGGCCGGCGGCGGCAGAGAGAGCCUGAAAGAGGUGGCCAAGUCUGGCUUCUGCCUCUGCUCAAGCCGGGCCAUGCCAGGAAACUCCCAUGGAGGACUCGGAAGAGGGAGCGGGAACCAGGACUGUAUUCUUCUCUGAAGCAGAUUUGUGGACUGAGAAAGGACUAUUUAUGACUGUGGACUUUUGUAAAUGAUCACAGGGACCAUUGUGAAUACUACUGUUUUUGAUCUCUUGGCAUCAGUAAAGUUCCUGUAUUUUGUUCUGCAAACCUGGGUGGCAUGUUAUUGUUCUGCGAGUGACUCUGGAUCAUGGGCACACGUAAUAGCUUCCAUUUAUCAUCAUCAAUCCGCUACACAAAUCACUAUCACUCCCUAAUGCUAGGAUAGGAAUCCUCCAACUCUACAGACGAUUUUGGACUGCAGUUUUCAUUACUUGGAGACUUCCUGUGCUCCUGUAUUGAAUCACAUAACUCAAUGCCAUCUCCAGAGUGUUGCUAGAAACCUAGCUGUGUGUUUCUGUCUGGACUGCUUCUGUUUCAGCUCUGCCUAUCUGAGAUUGUUUUUUUCUGCUGCUUUGGGGAAAUCAGUUUCCUGUUCAAAUUCUAAAAACUAAAAAAAAGUGUGUGUGUGGGGGGGAGUCCUGAUAAUGUAGUGCUGUGGAGGCUAAAAUAUAUGCAUGUGAGUGUUUGCUACAUCUCCGGUGUUUAGGCAGCUCGCUCUCUCUAGCCCACUUGCCUUUCUGUUUCAGUGAUGUGCCUGUGACUUGCAUUUGUAAUGAUCCAGCAGAAUAUAAAAACCGUCCACCAUGACAGUAAUUUAUAACACAGGAGGAUGUUUCAUUCUCCAUAAAUCCCUUUGCACCCUCAGGCAUUGGAGAUGUAGAAUGGGAUCACAAAAUGAUGAAGAUGCAUCUGUCUGUAACCCUUCUGCAAUGAAUAUUAUCCAUUUAGGAAAGUUUCUUCUCUUGGUUGCAAUGCAUUUUGUACUCUGCUCAGUAUCUCUGUGGCACUAUGCCGUAAGUGUACAUUCUUUUGGUGUAAACAACUUAAGCUGGACUGUGGCCAAAUUGCACAUUAUACUGUGAGUUACAUGGAUUACCUAUCAUCGCCCCAGGGCUUUCAUGAAAACUAAAUGUAGUCUUGGAAGGUGAAUCUUGAAAUGUAAGAUGCACACAGAAGGGAUUUCUUAACUCUUUCUUCUCCAUCUGAAAACAGUCAAUCUGGGUGAAUCAAUAGUGCACAGUUGCAGCAGUAUAACUGUACAUGUGAACUAAGCAGUUACAUCAAUCUAAACUUUUACCUCUAUAUUACAGAUUGUUGGAAUUUGCAGUUUAGUGAAAGUAUCUAACAUUGUUGAGUGCACUCUUCCUACUAUAGUACUAGAGCUGCCAGAAUGAAAAUUCAGGGUACUUCACAGAUCUAAUUACACAUUCCAGGGGGUCCAUAGGAUCAUAGAAUCAUAGAAUAGUAGAGUUGGAAGAGACCUCAUGGGCUAUCCAGUCCAACUCCCUGCCAAGAAGCAGGAAAUCGCAUUCAAAGUACCCCCAACAGAUGGCCAUCCAGCCUCUGCUUGAAAGGCACCAAAGAAGGAGCCUCCACCACACAGGGCAGGGAGUUCUACUGCCAAACAGCCCUCACUGUGAGGAAGUUCUUCCUAAUGUUCAGGUGGAAUCUCCUUUCCUGUAGUUUGAAGCCAUUGUUUCGCGUCCUAGUUUCCAGGGCAGCAGAAAAUAAGCUUGCUCCCUCCUCCCUAUGACUUCCCCUCACAUAUUUAUACAUGGCUAUCAUGUCUCCUCUUGGCCUUCUCUUCUGCAGGCUAAACAUGCCCAGUUCUUUAAGCCGCUCCUCAUAGGGCUUGUUCUCCAGACCCUUAAUCAUUUUAGUUGCCCUCCUCUGGACACAUUUCAGCUUGUCAACAUCUCCCUUCAACUGUGGUGCUCAGAAUUGGACACAGUAUUCCAGGUGUGGUCUGACCAAGGCAGAAUAGAGGGGUAGUAUGACUUCCCUGGAUCUAGACACUAAACUUCUAUUGAUGCAGGCCAAAAUCCCAUUGGCUUUUUUCACCGCCGCAUCACAUUGUAGGCUCAUGUUUAACUUGUUGUCCACGAGGAAUCCAAGAUCUUUUUCACAGGUACUGCUGUUGAGCCAGGCAUCCCCCAUUCUGUAUCUUUGCAUUCCAUUUUUUCUGCCGAAGUGAAGUAUCUUGCAUUUGUCCCUGUUGAACUUCAUUUUGUUAGUUUCGGCCCAUCACUCUAGUCUGUUAAGAUUGUUUUGAAUUCUGCUUCUGUCUUCUGGAGUGUUAGCUAUCCCUCCCAGUUUGGUGUCAUCUGCAAACUUGAUGAUCGUGCCUUCUAACCCUUCAUCUAAGUCGUUAAUAAAGAUGUUGAACAGAACCGGGCCCAGGACGGAACCCUGCGGUACUCCACUCGUGACUUCAUUCCAAGAUGAAGACGACGCAUUGGUGAACACCCUUUGGGUUUGUUCACUUAGCCAAUUACAGAUCUGCCUAACCGUAGUUUUGUCUAGCCUACAUUUUACUAGUUUGUUUGGCAGAAGGUCGUGGGGGACUUUGUCGAAGGCCUUACAGAAUUCCAGGUACGCGACAUUCACGGUGUUCCCUGUAUCGACCCAACUCGUACCUCUAUCGAAAAAAGAGAUCAAAUUAGUCUGGCAUGACUUGUUUUUGGUAAAUCCGUGUUGACUAUUAGCAAUGACCGCAUUUGUUUCUAAGUGUUCACAGACCACUUCCUUAAUGAUCUUUUCCAGAAUCUUGCCUGGUAUCGAUGUGAGGCUGACCGGACAGUAAUUGUUUGGGUCGUUCUUUUUUCCCUUUUUGAAGAUAGGGACCACAUUCGCCCUCCUCCAAUCUGCUGGGAUUUCUCCUGUUCUCCAAGAACUCUCAAAUGAUUGCCAGUGGUUCUGAAAUAACUUCAUCUAGUUCCUUCAAUACCUGGGGACUUGAAUUCGUUUAGAGCGGCCAGGUGUUCCUCAACAAUUUGUUUCCCUAUUUGGGGUUGGAUUUCCCCUAAUCCUUUGUCCAUUCCUUGUUGCUGAAGUUGAAGAUGGCUUUCUUUUUGUGAGAAGACUGAGGCAAAGAAGGCAUUAAGUCGUUCUGCCUUUUCUCUGUCCCUUGUCACCAUCACCCCAUCUUCUCCUCGCAGAGGCCCUAUUGCCUCCUUGUUCUUCCUUUUUCUACCAAUGUAAGCAAAAAAGCCUUUUUUGUUGAUUUUAAUGUCCCUGGCAAGCCUGAGCUUAUUUUGCGCUUUAGCCUUGCAAAGCUUUUCCCUACAAGAGUUGGCUAUACAUUUGAAUUCUUCUUUGGUGAUUCUCCCUUUUUCCACUUCUUGUGCAUGUCUCUUUUGAGUCUUAGCCGGGUUAGAAGUUCUUUGGACAUCCAUUCUGGCUUCUUCACACUUGUCUUAUUUUUUUUCUUUGUUGGCACUGUUUGCAUUUGUGCCUUGAGUAUUUUACUUUUAAAAAACUCCCAUCCAUCCAUAACUCCCUUGUCUUUUAAUAUUGGCGUCCAUGGAAUGCUGCUCAGUAUUUCCUUCAUUUUUUUGGAAGUCAGCUCUCUUAAAGUCCAGAAUGCCUGUUUGACUUGUCUUAUUUUCAGCCUUUCUUUGUAUGGCAAACAUCAGGAGCACAUGGUCAUUUGCCCCUAAGGAUCCAACCACUUCGACUGUAUUGAUCAGGUCUUCCACAUUUGUUAAGAUUAGAUCAAGAGUAGCUGAUCUCCUUGUUGCCUCUUCUGCCUUCUGGACCAUAAAAUUGUCUGCAAGGCAAGUGAGGAAUUUGUUCGACUUUGUACUCUUGGCUGAGUUUGUUUUCCAGCAGAUAUCGGGAUAGUUGAUAUUGCCCUUUCAACUAGAACAACUAUAUGACAGAGAGGGAAUGGUAAGAGAAAAUAAAAUUAAACAAUGGCUUGGAGAAGAAAAUUGGUUACAGAUAAGAGCAAUCUGUGCAUAUUGCAAAAUAAAAGAAAAUAUUAAUAUGGUUAAGAGAGAAGAUAAGCCCUUUGAAAAGAUAAUAAGAGAAAAGGGGGAAGGAAAGAAGGCACAGGCCAGCAAAACAUAUACAAUGCUCAUAGAGGCUGAUGGAUGUAUAAUACGGGAUCUGAAAAGUAUGUGGGAAACGGAGCUGCAAAUCAAACAAAAGUUGAGAAAUGUGGUAGAGACAAUAGGGAUGAAAAGGAAUACCAGAGUACGAGAAAUGAGGAGGAAAAUAUUGCACAAAUGGUAUCGUACAUCCUGCCAACUAGCAUACUACUAUAAAAAGGGGAGUAGUAAGUGCUGGCAUGGAUGUCAUCAGAAAGGGCGGUUUAUGCACAUGAUGUGGGAAUGUGAAUAUGUACAAUAUUUUUGGCAGACUAUACAAAAUGAGUCAAAUCAAAUACUAGGAAAUGAGUGGGUCAUAGCAAAGGAAAUAGCGGUAUUAGGGAAAAGAGAGGAAAUGGGAAAUAAAGGGGAAAUAAAAGAAGCAAUAAUUGAAUGUGCACAAGCAGUAAUAGUAUUAGGGUGGAAAGAUAAAUCAAAAUGGACAGUAAAUAAAUGGUACCAAUAUAUGGUGGAGCAAAUGGAAUUUGAAAUUAUGAAUGUGAAACUAAAUGUUGUAAAAACUAAUGAAAAUAGAACAAGAGAAAUGGAAGAAAGAUGGAUAAUGGUAAAGAACUAUAUCAUGAAUCAAUCUGGAGAUCAAGCCAUAAGAAAUAAGAUACAAAUGUUAUAUAGUAUAUAGGUUGGAAAUGGAUAAAGAUAAAGAUAUAAAAAUUGUCUCAUAAAGAAAUGAAUAUGUAAAAAGAAAACAAUCCUCGUGUUGGUGGUGGGAAUUGUAAAUGUUUUGUAUGUCUACGGUAUGUAUUUUUUGUGUUUUAAAAAAUAAAAAUUUAUUUUUUAAAAAAAGGGAUAGUUGAAAUUGCCCAUGACUACUAUAUCUCUUCUUUGUGCCUGUUUGGUCAGCUGUUGACAGAAGGCUUCAUCAAGUUCUUCAUCCUGAUUCGGAGAUCUGUAGUAUACACCCACGACAAGAUCUUUUUGAGUCCCAGUUUCCUUGAUUCUUAUCCAGAUGCUUUCAAGCUGGUUUCCCGGAUUACAGUCUUGCAUUUCUUCUGCAACGUAACUGCUUUUGACAUAUAAAGCUACUCCCCCUCCUCUCCCCUUUGUUCUAUUUUUGUGAAAGAGGUUAUAGCCCUCAAUGGCUACAUUCCAGUGAUGGGAGUCAUCCCACCAGGUUUCAGUGAUGCCUAUGACAUCGUAUGUGUGGUGCUGUGCUAAGAGUCGGAGUUCGUCUUGCUUAUUUCCCAUGCUCUGUGCAUUAGUGUAAAGACAUGUAAGCCCCUGUAACCUUUCCCCGAGCUGUUUAUUUGGGAUUAUUGUGCUCUUUGUAAUUGGUCCUUGCUGUGUUUGUGCAGCCCUCCAUUUAGCCUUUUGGCGGUUCCCUGUGGUUGUGGGUAAUAUAGUGUUUUCCAGGCUGUUGUUCCCCUCCCCCAGUUGAUCUAGUUUAAAGUGCGCCUGAUGAGGUUUGUGAGUCUGUGUGCAAAAAGUUGUUUUCCUACUUGUGUGAGAUGCACCCCAUCACUUGCCAGUAGG